RNAcentral lists this ribosomal RNA (336 nucleotides) under Levilactobacillus brevis. Its description in RNAcentral is "bacterial SSU rRNA". It matches the Rfam family "Bacterial small subunit ribosomal RNA", at positions 54 to 354 of the family's 1533-position model. The record is from RNAcentral. Lineage: Bacteria; Bacillati; Bacillota; Bacilli; Lactobacillales; Lactobacillaceae.
CCUAUCAUGCAGUCGAACGAGCUUCCGUUGAAUGACGUGCUUGCACUGAUUUCAACAAUGAAGCGAGUGGCGAACUGGUGAGUAACACGUGGGAAAUCUGCCCAGAAGCAGGGGAUAACACUUGGAAACAGGUGCUAAUACCGUAUAACAACAAAAUCCGCAUGGAUUUUGUUUGAAAGGUGGCUUCGGCUAUCACUUCUGGAUGAUCCCGCGGCGUAUUAGUUAGUUGGUGAGGUAAAGGCCCACCAAGACGAUGAUACGUAGCCGACCUGAGAGGGUAAUCGGCCACAUUGGGACUGAGACACGGCCCAAACUCCUACGGGAGGGCAGCAGUAA